GCAUAUCAAUAAGCGGAGGAAAAGAAACCAACAGGGAUUGCCCUAGUAACGGCGAGUGAAGCGGCAACAGCUCAAAUUUGAAAGCUAGCCUUCGGGUUCGCAUUGUAAUUUGUAGAGGAUGAUUUGGGGAAGCCGCCUGUCUAAGUUCCUUGGAACAGGACGUCAUAGAGGGUGAGAAUCCCGUAUGUGACAGGAAAUGGCACCCUAUGUAAAUCUCCUUCGACGAGUCGAGUUGUUUGGGAAUGCAGCUCUAAAUGGGAGGUAAAUUUCUUCUAAAGCUAAAUAUUGGCGAGAGACCGAUAGCGCACAAGUAGAGUGAUCGAAAGAUGAAAAGCACUUUGGAAAGAGAGUUAAAAAGCACGUGAAAUUGUUGAAAGGGAAGCGCUUGCAAUCAGACUUGUUUAAACUGUUCGGCCGGUCUUCUGACCGGUUUACUCAGUUUGGACAGGCCAGCAUCAGUUUCGGCGGCCGGAUAAAGGCUCUGGGAAUGUGGCCUCCACUUCGGUGGAGGUGUUAUAGCCCGGGGUGUAAUACGGCCAGCCGGGACUGAGGUCCGCGCUUCGGCUAGGAUGCUGGCGUAAUGGUUGUAAGCGACCCGUCUUGAAACACGGACC
This 614-nucleotide ribosomal RNA is filed under the name Aureobasidium pullulans. Its description in RNAcentral is "eukaryotic LSU rRNA". It matches the Rfam family "Eukaryotic large subunit ribosomal RNA", at positions 38 to 667 of the family's 3401-position model. Lineage: Eukaryota; Fungi; Ascomycota; Dothideomycetes; Dothideales; Saccotheciaceae. The record is from RNAcentral.